UACGAAGGGGGCUAGCGUUGUUCGGAAUUACUGGGCGUAAAGGGCGCGUAGGCGGCUGUGCAAGUCAGAUGUGAAAGCCCUGGGCUCAACCCAGGAUGUGCAUUUGAUACUGCGCGGCUAGAGUGUCGGAGAGGAUGGUGGAAUUCCCAGUGUAGAGGUGAAAUUCGUAGAUAUUGGGAAGGACACCGGUGGCGAAGGCGACCAUCUGGACGACAACUGACGCUGAGGCGCGAAAGCGUGGGGAGCAAACAGG
Molecule: ribosomal RNA, 253 nt
Filed under: uncultured bacterium
Lineage: Bacteria
Description: partial 16S ribosomal RNA
Rfam family: Bacterial small subunit ribosomal RNA
Source: RNAcentral